GCGGUGACGCCGAGCGGAACCCGAAAGCCCCUCUCAGUUCGGAUCGGAGUCUGCAACCCGACUCCGUGAAGCUGGAUUCGCUAGUAAUCGCGCAUCAGCCAUGGCGCGGUGAAUACGUUCCCGGGCCUUGUACACACCGCCCGUCAAGCCAUGGGAGCCGGGAGCGCUUGAAGUGCGUCCGCCGCGAGGCCGCGCCCUAGAGCGAGACCGGUCGACGUGGGGCUAAGUCGUAACAAGGUACC
Molecule: ribosomal RNA, 242 nt
Filed under: uncultured bacterium
Lineage: Bacteria
Description: partial 16S ribosomal RNA
Rfam family: Bacterial small subunit ribosomal RNA
Source: RNAcentral